Molecule: non-coding RNA, 303 nt
Organism: Pelobates cultripes (western spadefoot toad)
Lineage: Eukaryota; Metazoa; Chordata; Amphibia; Anura; Pelobatidae
Source: the annotation of a GenBank genome assembly
UCCAUGUAUGUGUGUAUAUCCACCCAGAGCCUAUCAGGUGGGCGUCUCUUGUCUUUCUUCUUCCUUCCUGGGUAGAGGUUUGUCUCUCUUCCUCUAUCUGCGUUGUGAAGUUGAUCUGUGUGCUGUCUCUGACUUGGGGGAGCCGUCUCUCCCAUCCUAUUCUCUCUGACUGUCUCGCAGAUCCUCUUCCUGGGAUUAAAGAUGACCGUCAUCCUGGACUUUGUGGAAUGUCUCACAGACUCACCACGUACAAGGUGAGAGGCCGGUUACAGAAUGUUAAUCAGUAGUGCAAUGCUCUGCAGG